Long non-coding RNA from Talpa occidentalis (Iberian mole), 877 nucleotides. RefSeq lists it as uncharacterized. Lineage: Eukaryota; Metazoa; Chordata; Mammalia; Eulipotyphla; Talpidae. The record is from RefSeq and is a predicted model, not a curated record. The transcript has 6 exons.
GCUGCCCUCCCUUCUGGCUGCCCUACCUACCCCCACCCCCCAGAGGCUGGAAGGAGACCCUGUUCUUCUCACAUCACAGCAGAGGGUGUGUGGAGUCAGAGAGGGAAAGAUGUUAUCGGGCUGAUUCAUGGUCUCUCCACGCCUUGCUCAGGACACUUGAACUUGAUGCAGUUAUUGGACAUCCUGGGUGGUUGGCUUCAUCUCCAGGAACUCUGAUUUAUUGACCUCUUACUGUAUACCGCCCAUGACAGCUUCUUCACAUGUUUCGUUCUACUGGCAGUCCAGCCGAGCAUUCUGGAGGACAUGGAGGCAUAGCCAGGUCCAGAGACUCAUCUGAGACCCUCCCAGCCUCACGCCAGCAAGUGGAGGCCCAAGGACUACCCGUGGAGGGUUUAUGCUGACCUUGCUGGUCCUGGUCACAAUACCUACUAUGUGAGGCACUCUGCGAAGCUUUUCACCUACUACUCCCAACUGAGAAGAAGCUAAAGCUCAGAGAAUGAAGUGGCUGGAUCCGACUGAGACUUCAUUCUCUUUCCAGAACAAUCUACCAUGUGAUAGUAUUCCUGUGUUGAAGUCCUGAACCUCGCCUGGACCUCAGCGCGUGACUGUAUCCAGAGGCUGAGUCUUCAAAGAGUCAUGAUCUUUGGAGGCAGUGACCUUUGGAGAGAGAAUGAAAAUCGCAAAGUACUCCAAAGGCGGUGAGUAAUCUCAAGGCAACGCUGGACCAGUGGGCAGCAGCACAUAUUUUCUGUACAGAGUUGGACAGUAAACAUCUCAGACGUGGCGGUCUCCAUGGCAACAAUGCAACACUGCCCCUCAGCUCCAAGCUGCCAUAUAUAUAUGUGACUGAGCAUAGCUGCGCUUAAUAAAACUUUAU